UUAAGUUCAGCGGGUAAUCCUGACUGAUUUGAGGUCUAAAAUCAAGUUUGACUUUGGUGGUUGGCAGCUUCUACCUUUUCCUAUGCGGCCACUAAUAAAAGUGUCCUCAGCGAAUAGUCUAUUACGCCGAGUCAAUCCGAAUAACGAAAUUGAGAUGCUAAUGUAUUACGAACUAGCUAAAUGAAUAGCAAAAGCUCAAA
This 200-nucleotide unclassified non-coding RNA is filed under the name Yunzhangia sp. Its description in RNAcentral is "partial internal transcribed spacer 2". The record is from RNAcentral. Lineage: Eukaryota; Fungi; Basidiomycota; Microbotryomycetes; Chrysozymaceae.